This 1604-nucleotide long non-coding RNA is filed under the name Rattus norvegicus (Norway rat). Its description in RNAcentral is "long non-coding RNA NONRATT004725". The record is from RNAcentral. Lineage: Eukaryota; Metazoa; Chordata; Mammalia; Rodentia; Muridae.
CUAUCCUCUUCAGCCUGCAGCGUGUUCUGCUCAUCCUUGGCCUUUUCUUCACUGGCCUCUUGCCCUUUGUGCCCAUUCGAGAGCAGUUCUUUGAGAUCCCAAUGCCCUCCAUCAUACUGAAGCUAAAAGAACCGCACAUUAUAUCCAAAGGUCAUAAGUUUCUCAUCUGGCUUUCGGACACCUUAUUAAUGCGGAAAGCUUUAUUUGACCACCUCACCGCCCGGGGCAUUCAAGUAUACAUUUGGGUUUUAAAUGAAGAGCAUGAGUACAAAAGAGCUUUUGAUUUGGGGGCCACGGGAGUGAUGACGGACUAUCCAACGAAGCUUAAGGAGUUCUUAAAUAACAUGUCAGCAUGAAGCACUCCAGAUCAUUGAGAGGAGUCAUGAUCAGAAAAGAUCUGAGGAAAGGUGUGUUAGCCACGGUUCCCCUGGGGUCUCCAGGACGAUAAAAGGUUUAAUCAGUUAAGUUUUAAUACCUCAUUUCUUAAGUCUGUAUGGGAAUGUAGAAACUUCCCUAAAUUGUAUAUUUAUUUUCUCCAAUAUUGCAUAUUUUACACUGGGAACUUGUUUGGAGUUAACCAGCGCUGAAAUGUAGAUCAUUGAUCAGGAUGUCUGCAUAUGAUGCAGUACUCUAUUAUUGUAAAUCUGAAAUCAAAGGCUAGAGGUAAAUUGGGCGUUAGCCUUCCCUGAAAUAGGAUCAACCGUGGUAAAAGGUUCCUGAGCGGGGCAUGGUAUCAUGAGCCUGCGAUCCCAGCACACGGGGGGCUGAGGCAAGAGGGCAGGGGUUUGAGGCCAGCUUGGGCUACAUAGUGAAAUGCCGUCUUCAAAAGUUUUUUUGUUUAGUUAAAAAGAAAAUUAUUGAAGGCCGUUACAGCCAUUUUGAAUUGUCUCGUAUGUCUAGGUGUAUUUUUAGUUAACGGAAAUACAGGGGAAGAGGAGUCUGAAAGAGAUGUGUAGUACUCGCCCAGCAGGGUGGAUGCUGUUCGCAGAGGGCAGAUUCAAGCAAGUAACAGUUUGUUAUUACUCAGAUCCAGGCUGUGGCUGAGACAGACUCCUGGGCUGCGGUUGUUAAUGGGGCAUCCCGGUUGGAGUCUUUUUUUCAGGUGUAUGACAGUGCUGUCAUGUCUAUUUUUUUACGUCUUUAAAAAUAGACAUUAUAACUAUAAAAUAAGACAAGAUCCAAUUAGUCUUGUUUUGUGUUUCCUCAAGAAAUACUCAGUUCUUAUCUUUUGGGCGCGACUAGGCUGAGCCUGGACCUGGGCUGUGAACUAGUGGUUGAGCUGGUGGAAGGAAGCGCGGCGCCACUGCGGGCAUGUUUAGCAUGAGCCACGUGCUCGAUCGCUAAGGCUCGGACACAGCGAGAGUUAACCCGCAUUAUACACCACUUCCUCUGCCUCCCGAUGUGACUUCACGCAGAUCUGCCUCUGGCCUUUUGACUAAUUUUCAUGAUGUCAGAUUGGGAGAUAAAUUCAGUGUAGAGUACUAGACGCCUUUUGCCUAGAUUACGUCUCUGCUGUGGGGCAGCCAUGGAGGACAGCCUCACCCUCCUUCUGUCGCUCUGUGGUCUAAAUUGUAAUAAAGUUUUCCAAGAAUGAAAUGAGGUCU